CGCGGGGUAGAGCAGCUUGGUAGCUCGUCGGGCUCAUAACCCGGAGGUCGAAGGUUCAAAUCCUUCCCCCGCAACCA
Molecule: transfer RNA, 77 nt
Filed under: [Clostridium] scindens
Lineage: Bacteria; Bacillati; Bacillota; Clostridia; Lachnospirales; Lachnospiraceae
Also listed under: 9 other names
Description: tRNA-Met
Rfam family: tRNA
About the family: Transfer RNA (tRNA) molecules are approximately 80 nucleotides in length. Their secondary structure includes four short double-helical elements and three loops (D, anti-codon, and T loops).
Source: RNAcentral